RNAcentral lists this ribosomal RNA (872 nucleotides) under Escherichia coli. Its description in RNAcentral is "partial 23S ribosomal RNA". It matches the Rfam family "Bacterial large subunit ribosomal RNA", at positions 360 to 1237 of the family's 2925-position model. Lineage: Bacteria; Pseudomonadati; Pseudomonadota; Gammaproteobacteria; Enterobacterales; Enterobacteriaceae. The record is from RNAcentral.
CAGGGUGACAGCCCCGUACACAAAAAUGCACAUAUUGUGAGCUCGAUGAGUAGGGCGGGACACGUGGUAUCCUGUCUGAAUAUGGGGGGACCAUCCUCCAAGGCUAAAUACUCCUGACUGACCGAUAGUGAACCAGUACCGUGAGGGAAAGGCGAAAAGAACCCCGGCGAGGGGAGUGAAAAAGAACCUGAAACCGUGUACGUACAAGCAGUGGGAGCCUCUUAAUGGGGUGACUGCGUACCUUUUGUAUAAUGGGUCAGCGACUUAUAUUCUGUAGCAAGGUUAACCGAAUAGGGGAGCCGAAGGGAAACCGAGUCUUAACUGGGCGUUAAGUUGCAGGGUAUAGACCCGAAACCCGGUGAUCUAGCCAUGGGCAGGUUGAAGGUUGGGUAACACUAACUGGAGGACCGAACCGACUAAUGUUGAAAAAUUAGCGGAUGACUUGUGGCUGGGGGUGAAAGGCCAAUCAAACCGGGAGAUAGCUGGUUCUCCCCGAAAGCUAUUUAGGUAGCGCCUCGUGAAUUCAUCUCCGGGGGUAGAGCACUGUUUCGGCAAGGGGGUCAUCCCGACUUACCAACCCGAUGCAAACUGCGAAUACCGGAGAAUGUUAUCACGGGAGACACACGGCGGGUGCUAACGUCCGUCGUGAAGAGGGAAACAACCCAGACCGCCAGCUAAGGUCCCAAAGUCAUGGUUAAGUGGGAAACGAUGUGGGAAGGCCCAGACAGCCAGGAUGUUGGCUUAGAAGCAGCCAUCAUUUAAAGAAAGCGUAAUAGCUCACUGGUCGAGUCGGCCUGCGCGGAAGAUGUAACGGGGCUAAACCAUGCACCGAAGCUGCGGCAGCGACACUAUGUGUUGUUGGGUAGGGGAGC